RNAcentral lists this unclassified non-coding RNA (1510 nucleotides) under Hevea brasiliensis (rubber tree). Lineage: Eukaryota; Viridiplantae; Streptophyta; Magnoliopsida; Malpighiales; Euphorbiaceae. The record is from RNAcentral.
GUUUGAGAGAAAUAACUAGUAGAGAGUGAGGAAAAAAUUACUUUUCUAGUAAGAUUCAGCACAACAAAUACAACUGUUGCAUCUGAUUGAAAACUGAAUGGAGCGAUGGACUUGUCAACAACAAAAUGGAAAAUGGGGAAAAAAUUUUAAUGAACAUUGAUACAUAUCAAAAUCAACCACAUGUAAGCGCAACUCUAUAUAUCUACAAACCUAUAACACUUCUACAAAAGCUAAUAUGGCAUGGAUGUGAGGUUGAGAAAUGCUCCACCUGGAGUGAGAUGAAAAGCUACUCCCAUCCAACAAGAAUGCAUGAAUUAUCAAUUGGGUAUCAAACCUUUUUAUCUAAUAUCUAUAGGACGAGCCUGAUGGUGGCGGUGCUGGUGGCAUCCGAGUGGGUGUGCGGCGGCUGCUGUUUGUGCCUGAGCUUGCAUCACCAUUUUGAGGUGGAUCACUGUUCCGUCUACUGUGAGACCUCAAUGGGUCAGCACGGCCAUUAGCUGCAGCAUCAAAUGCAGUCCUCCAGUCCUCCCCUCCUGCACGUCCGCUUGUUCUUGGACUACUUUCUGUGCAAAUUUAACAUUCCAAAAGUACAUGUAAGUAAUUGGGAAAUGACAAUCAUAGAUUUUCAAGACAGAUUUGAUUUUUGUUAGUCUAGCACAAGUGAUUUGUGGUUAGCCAUAACUGUUAUGAAAUGGAAAAUUCCAAACAACAGGAAUUACUCGUAAAUAUUUUAGGAGUUGAAGCAAUUUAUAACAAAUCCAGUUUUUGUCUUAGAAUAUCAGUCCUCAAACAAACUGUUAAAACGAUAAAAAGUCAUUGCUCUCACAUGUGCUAUGCCUCAAUAAUACAACACUAAGAACCUGCAAUUGGCAAAAAGAUUGGCAUAAUCAACCCAAAACACUAAGGUCAAAAUCCUUGAGAACUCAAAUAUCACCAAUUUUGGCAAAAGAAUUUUUAAAAAAAUAAAAAGCACCCUAAACUAAGUUCCAACUACCACUGUCAACAUGUAAAACACAUAUUUUACUUGGGCAAUAAAAAUAAAAACAUGAACUAAAGAAACUGAUCCUGAUAAUUAUUUUCCUGUGAAUUGCAUUACUGAAGACCAAAAUAAAAGCAAAUCCGCACAUGCUAGACAACUGUGUCAGUGCACGUGUCACACAACACAGCAAACAAAAAAGGUUAAUUGGAAUGCUCAUCACAACCACCAUUACCAGCACCACCAUCAUUGGACCAGCUGGAUGCAGCUGCUGCUCGAUUGUCAUGGAUGCUUAGUUGCCGUACUAGUUUUGAAAGAAGAGAAGACUGCUUCUGAUAACGCUCUCUCUUACGCUUUACAUUCUGGUCCUCCUGGAGCAGUUCUUCAAUCCUUGCACUGCUUUGUGCACUAAUGGAACUAUAAAGCUGAUUAAGCAUGUCUUCCCUAGCUUUCUCUACUUGGCAAAGAACAACUGCUUUUGGGACAUUGGCAGCAAGGCUGUUGAGAACAGCUUCAACAUAACCACGCACUUCU